RNAcentral lists this ribosomal RNA (441 nucleotides) under uncultured bacterium. Its description in RNAcentral is "partial 16S ribosomal RNA". It matches the Rfam family "Bacterial small subunit ribosomal RNA", at positions 338 to 795 of the family's 1533-position model. The record is from RNAcentral.
CCUACGGGAGGCAGCAGUGGGGAAUAUUGCACAAUGGGGGGAACCCUGAUGCAGCGACGCCGCGUGGGUGAAGGCGUAUUUCGGUAUGUAACGCCCUAUCAGCAGGGAAGAACAAUGACGGUACCUGACUAAGAAGCACCGGCUAAAUACGUGCCCGCAGCCGCGGUAAUACGUAUGGUGCAAGCGGUAUCCGGAUUUACUGGGUGUAAAGGGAGCGCAGGCGGCUCGUUAAGCCUGGUGGUAAAGCCCGCGGCCCAACCGCGGGACUGCAUUGGGACCUGUCGCGCUGGAGUGCCGGAGAGGUAGGCGGAAUUCCUAGGGUAGCGGUGAAAUGCGUAGAUAUUAGGAGGAACACCAGUGGCGAAGGCGGCCUACGGGACGGUGACUGACGCUGAGGCUCGAAAGCGUGGGGAGCAAACAGGAUUAGAUACCCGUGUAGUC